CGGGAGGGCGAGCGCGGCAGAGGUGAGGGUCUCCUGCUCCCGCUGCUCGUGCACCUCCGGGGAGGGGUUGACGGGAGGUCGCGGGGUCCGCCUCUAACAAGUGCCCCGCCGUGUUGGUUUUGGUUGAGAUCUCAGGCUUGAUCCGCGCUAGGCACUGCAACGAGGAGCUCCAAUCUUGAUAGCGAGCGGAGGCAAGGGCCGGCAGUCCGGCAGCUAGGGAGCGGCGGCCGACGCGGACCGGACGCAGCAGGGAAGGCGGCGGUGGAGUGGCGGCCCUCGCGUGUCUGGCUCUGGAGAUUUGUGCGGCAAGAACGGGAGAGGAAGAACAGGAGAGGAGGAGAAAGAGAAUUGGAGAGGAGAGAGAACAGUGCAGUUGAAUGGAGGGGUAAAUAUGUCUUUUGCAAACUAAUGUGCUAAAGUUUAGCACUGUAUCCAAAC
This 438-nucleotide long non-coding RNA is filed under the name Setaria italica (foxtail millet). RNAcentral describes it as "long non-coding RNA (SITA_LNC004005)". The record is from RNAcentral. Lineage: Eukaryota; Viridiplantae; Streptophyta; Magnoliopsida; Poales; Poaceae.